GAUGAACGCUGGCGGCGUGCCUAAUACAUGCAAGUAGAACGCUGAAGCUUGGUGCUUGCACCGAGCGGAUGAGUUGCGAACGGGUGAGUAACGCGUAGGUAACCUGCCUCUUAGCGGGGGAUAACUAUUGGAAACGAUAGCUAAUACCGCAUAAAAGUCGAUAUCGCAUGAUAUUUAUUUGAAAUGUGCAAAUGCAUCACUAAGAGAUGGACCUGCGUUGUAUUAGCUAGUUGGUGAGGUAACGGCUCACCAAGGCGACGAUACAUAGCCGCCCUGAGAGGGUGGUCGGCCACACUGGGAGUGAGACACGGCCCAGACGCCUACGGGAGGCAGCAGUAGGGAAUCGUCGGCAAUGGGGGCAAACCUGACCGAGCAACGCCGCGUGAGUGAAGAAGGUUUUCGGAUCGUAAAGCUCUGUUGUAAGAGAAGAACGAGUGUGAGAGUGGAAAGUUCACAGUGUGACGGUAACUUACCAGAAAGGGACGGCUAACUACGUG
This 497-nucleotide ribosomal RNA is filed under the name uncultured bacterium. Its description in RNAcentral is "partial 16S ribosomal RNA". It matches the Rfam family "Bacterial small subunit ribosomal RNA", at positions 28 to 507 of the family's 1533-position model. The record is from RNAcentral.